This 847-nucleotide long non-coding RNA is filed under the name Fukomys damarensis (Damara mole-rat). RNAcentral describes it as "lncRNA (ENSFDAG00000027202.1)". Lineage: Eukaryota; Metazoa; Chordata; Mammalia; Rodentia; Bathyergidae. The record is from RNAcentral.
GGACUUGGAGAGAAGGGAGGAUUAGUGACCUUCCAGAGCCCCAUUUGGGAGAGCAGUUGGGGCUGAAGCUGGAUCUCAGGAGUGGGUGUGAGGCUGGUGUCUGGCGGGCCCAGGGGAGCCAAGGGUGUGGGCAUCUUUGGAAAGUUCCAUCCCUCACAUGGGCAGCUUUCCUGCUGAUACCCAGGGCUCCGGAUCAAUGCUGUCCUCAGAGCCCUGGUUCCUGGCGACUGUGAGCAGAGUCUCCCAGCCCCUGGGGAGCACAGUCUCUGGUGCAGGUCCACGGUGGCCCACAUCUUACUAAGCCUUGGGAAGUCCAGGGACCUGCUUCCUCAUGUACGACCUCUGCUCCUUUGGUCUCACCUCUCUGGCCUUUCUCAUUCCUCACUGCACACACAUGUCCUGAAGACCUGCAGGAGGCCUGCACUGCACAGCCGGGGUCACCCAGGGCCCAGGGUGCAGAUCUCAUGCUGAUGAGGGGAGAAAGGAGAGCAUGCCCCACCUCAGUAGGUGGGAUGAGCUGGACUGAUAAGGUGAGAACUUUCUCUUUUGUAUUACUACUGGGUUCUCAAGCAACCAGGACUUUUUCAGUUGGUAUUAUCUUGCCUUUGAGCUCAGAAUCACAGACCACUGAGGCCUCAGCUGUGACCUGAGGCCCAAAGGAGUUAUGUUUCCAAAUGUCAUAGCCUGCUCUCGGGCAAGGCAACGUUGGGCCUUAGACAGCUAGUCAUACUUUACUUAUGAGAUGAUUUCCCCCCAAAUCUGUGUAGAAAUGCUCCCAACAACCCAGAGUCCUUGGGCUGCUCCUUCAGGGGGUGAACAUUAGCUAUGGAAUUCAAAGACUUCACCA